Non-coding RNA from Eptesicus fuscus (big brown bat), 82 nucleotides. Lineage: Eukaryota; Metazoa; Chordata; Mammalia; Chiroptera; Vespertilionidae. The record is from RefSeq and is marked provisional.
UGGGGCAGGCAGCUGGAGAGCAGCUCCCUCCAAGCUCCAGGGGAUAGCUUGGAGUGUUCUGCUUCCUACUGACAUCCCAACA